Molecule: long non-coding RNA, 2717 nt
Filed under: Pelobates cultripes (western spadefoot toad)
Lineage: Eukaryota; Metazoa; Chordata; Amphibia; Anura; Pelobatidae
Source: RNAcentral
AGAUCCCAAAAAGCCGAUAAUAUCCUCUUGGAAGAAUGUUAAUUUCACAGUAAAGUACAAAAUUAACUGUGCUGCUCCAGAACCUGUUGCAGAAUGUGAAUUUGGAAUUUUUUUUCUAUUCGAAAACAACAAGAGGAAAAAAAAAGUUCAUAAUCAAGGAAAGCCCAAAGUAAACUUUAAUGGCCCUUUUAGUAGAACUGCUAAUUACACUUGUGCUUAUACUUUAAAAGUCAAAGAAUCACCCAAUCAUAUUAUUACAUCACCAUUAAGUGACCCAUUGAUUCUAGAGAAAGGUAAGUCCCAUAAAUUGCUACAUAUGCAAAUAGAGAAUACCUCUGUAAAACACAAAGCGGUAGGUAUACUAAUUGAUACAAGCUCUAACACCUGUGAGGUAUCCCCUACACCUACACCUUUAAAUCAUAUAUAACACACAAACAAUAGGUGGAGCAAGUAUGGCAUAUAGAUUAAAAAAAUGUUUGUGAUACUUCUCUCUCUUCUUGCUUUGUCACUGUAAAGAUAGAGAGGUACAGAAUAGUGCAGAUACAUAAUAUGUAAAUUCAAUAUAACUAAAACACACUAACAAAGAUAGAGCCAUAUACUGAACCUGGCUCUGGUGUGGAUUUCCUUAGGAUCUCUUUAGGGUGAUCCAAACCCUCUUUGUUGAUGCUCUGGAACAGUGGGAAUAUUCCUUCUCAAAGAUAGGCAGCUAAGAUGAAAUAACUUGCCUAAAAUUAAAUUUAUUGUUACAUACACUGGAUAAAACACUUCAUGAAUAGAGAUGUCGCGAACUGUCCGCUGAACUGUUCGCGAACUGUCCGCUGGCGAACAAUAGCGUGUUCGUGUUGGGCGAACAUAUCCGAUUUCCGGUCCGCCCCCUAUACGUCAUCAUUGAGUAAACUUUGACCCGGAACCUCACAGCCAGCAGACACAUUCCACCCAAUCAACAGCAGACCCUCCCUCCCAGGAAGUGUCUGCUGACUGUGAGGUUCCGGGUCAAAGUUUACUCAAUGAUGACGUAUAGGGGGCGGACCGGAAAUCGGAUAUGUUCGCCCAACGCAAGCACGCUAUUGUUCGCCGGCGGACAGUUCGCGAACAGUUCGGCGGACAGUUCGCGACAUCUCUAUUCAUGAAAUAUAAGUUUAAAAAGUCUACUAUUGUCCAAUUGUGUGCCAAAAUGCGUUUCGCCAAAAUGUGGCUUCCUCAGUUGGCAUAGAUGAUGCCAACAGAAUACUUCUGUCUAAAAUAAUCAUCAAGUGGUAAUGUUACUUUUUAGUUUUUCAUAAAGGUGGAUUCUUUAUGAAAAACACAUGUUCGCUGUUGGACUUUCUUUAUUUCUUUAACAAUCCAAAACUAUCAGAAGAUUUACGAGUUAAAGUCGGAAGCAUUUUGUCUCAUUUGGCAAAUAUGUGGCAAUGGAUGGUCCUUCAGGAGCAUCAACUUGCCAUUUCCCAUCAGCCAUUGCUCUUUGCAUCUAAUGGGAACAUGCAUCCUCUUGAGUUGUGCAAGAGAUACAUAUGACAUAUAACUGUGCAUAUGUGAGAAGAUCCAUGGAUCUUUUAUGGUCUUUCAUAGACCCAUGUUGUAUAUACUUGCCCUAGCCAUAGUGUAGAACAGGCUUCCCCAAACUCCAGCCCUCCAGAUGUUGCUGAACUACAACUCCCAUGAUUCUCAGCCUAUUUAUUUCAUUUGUAGAAUCAUGGGAGUUGUAGUUUAGCAACAUCUGGAGGGCCAGGGUUCGGGGAAGCCUGAAAAUUGUUUUUAGAUGAAGAGGAUAGAAGCUGUAGAGACAUGGAGGUCGACAAAAUUUGGAGGAGGGAUAAUAAAAGGUAAGUAUAUCUUGCUUUCUACUAUGUCACCUUAGAAGAAGGUGGUUGAAAAAAUUCAAAGUUCUCACACAGAACAGUGGCAGCUCUACAACGUUCCAAAUAAUGUAAGAAAUUAAAAAUGUCUGAAUAGUACAUAAAUUGCAUAUAAACAAAUCUGGUCUACUGUCAUAUCCUCGAUGAAUCUGCUACAUAAUUUCCAGAUUAAAAUUUUCAUCGGAAAUACAAUGCAGCUGCGAGCAUGAUCUCAUAUAGUGAAAAUAGAUAAGUUCUUACACAAAUACGACUUCUUUUCAUUUGUGAAAGCAAUUCUUAUUUGUUCUAUUUUUCACUUAACAAGAUGCUGCAUAUCAUUGCAUGAAUUGUAUCACCGAAAUUGCACAUAUAUAUAUUUGAUAUGAAAAAAAGUAAAAAAAAAAAGUAUUUUAAAAAUGACAAUACAUUCUCAUUAAACAUAUAGUAACUGUUACUUCCCAUGAUUUAGAUUUUUUUUGCUUAUGUAUCCCUAUAUUUAACACUUGAAAAAUAAAAUUAAAUAUAGAAAUCCACACCUUGUUUACCAUGCAACUAGGUGCCUCUCCCUCUCUCUUUCGUCAUGUGCUAAAUGUUUACUGUAGUUUUUGUUUAAAAAAAAUAAAAUAGCAUUGUAUGAGAAAAGGUUAACAAAAGGAGUUGUAGGUUAUUUUCAAUGUUUUAUUCAAAGUUGUAAAUUCCAGAGAAGACACAGCUCCUCUUUAAACUUUCCAUAAAAAGCUUAUUUCGUAUACCUUGCCGUAGUAAUUUGUCCUCUCUUAUACCUCUGAUCUUCUUUCUUUUGUAAGCGUAAAACUACUACUUCUUAUCUCAUGUAAAAUUAAUAGAAUACAAUUAUUCUAAGUUUCAGGUACAGCUCAG